This 997-nucleotide long non-coding RNA is filed under the name Marmota monax (woodchuck). The record is from RNAcentral. Lineage: Eukaryota; Metazoa; Chordata; Mammalia; Rodentia; Sciuridae.
UCAUACUUGAGGCUUUCCUAAGUGUUGUCCCAAUUUACCUGGUUUGAAGGGUUCUUUGUUUUUGUUUGCUUCUGAGGAUGGAAUUUAGGGCCUCACAAAAGCUAAGCACAUGCUCUACCACUGACCUGUAUUCCCAGCCCAAAAACAAAUCACAAAAGGUUACCAAACAUAAAGAAAUUAAUCACUAUUUUGGUCAGCAGAAACAAGGACAGGUUGAAACCUUUUGCAAGAUUAGACACAAUAUUGAUACUAUAAUAACAAUAAGAAAAGAAAGGAGAUGGAACCACAAAAAUAAGCCAGCAACAAAACAUUCAGACAACCAGACCUGCAACUGUAUACCCAUAGUUCACAUCAGGUAUCCUUCUUGGUGUAGUAAAUUCUGUGGAUUUUUUUAACCUUAAUUUUUUUUGGUACCAGGGAUUGAAGUCAAGGUCACUCAACCACUGAGCCUCAUCCCCAGCCCUAUUUUGUAUUUUAUUUAGAGACAGGUCUCACUGAGUUGCUUAGCACCUUACCAUUGCUGAGGCUGGCUUUGAACUCGUGAUCCUCCUGUCUCAGCCUCCAGAGCCGCUAGGAUUACAGGCAUGCACCACCAUGCCCAGCUCUGUGGAUUUUUUUAAAUAUUGGGGAUUGAACCUGGGGUGCUUUACCAUUGAGCUCCAUUCCCACCCAGCCCUUUUAAUUUUUUUUUUUUUUUAAAUUUUGAUUCAGGGUCUCACUAAGUUGCUAAGGCUGGCCUAGAACUUUUGAUCUUCUUGCCUCAGUCACAAGCAGCUGGGAUUACAGAUGUGUGCUACUGCACCCAAUUAUAGCUCCUUUUUAUCACUGAAUUAAUAUCCAAUCGAACGAAUGUAAUAGUUAAUCUAACCAAGUUCGGGCAAUUAUGAAUAAAGCUGCUAUAAACAUCUGUGAGCAUGUAAAUUUUUAAUUUAUUUGGGUAAAUACCAAGGAGUGUAGAUUAUAUGGUAAGAAUGUGUUUUGGUUUGUGAGAAAGCAC